UGCAAGUCGAACGAUGAACCUCCUUCGGGAGGGGAUUAGUGGCGAACGGGUGAGUAACACGUGGGCAAUCUGCCCUGCACUCUGGGACAAGCCCUGGAAACGGGGUCUAAUACCGGAUACGACUCGGGAGGGCAUCCUUCCGGGUGGAAAGCUCCGGCGGUGCAGGAUGAGCCCGCGGCCUAUCAGCUUGUUGGUGGGGUGAUGGCCUACCAAGGCGACGACGGGUAGCCGGCCUGAGAGGGCGACCGGCCACACUGGGACUGAGACACGGCCCAGACUCCUACGGGAGGCAGCAGUGGGGAAUAUUGCACAAUGGGCGAAAGCCUGAUGCAGCGACGCCGCGUGAGGGAUGACGGCCUUCGGGUUGUAAACCUCUUUCAGCAGGGAAGAAGCGCAAGUGACGGUACCUGCAGAAGAAGCGCCGGCUAACUACGUGCCAGCAGCCGCGGUAAUACGUAGGGCGCAAGCGUUGUCCGGAAUUAUUGGGCGUAAAGAGCUCGUAGGCGGCUUGUCGCGUCGGAUGUGAAAGCUCGGGGCUUAACCCCGGGUCUGCAUUCGAUACGGGCAGGCUAGAGUGUGGUAGGGGAGAUCGGAAUUCCUGGUGUAGCGGUGAAAUGCGCAGAUAUCAGGAGGAACACCGGUGGCGAAGGCGGAUCUCUGGGCCAUUACUGACGCUGAGGAGCGAAAGCGUGGGGAGCGAACAGGAUUAGAUACCCUGGUAGUCCACGCCGUAAACGUUGGGAACUAGGUGUUGGCGACAUUCCACGUCGUCGGUGCCGC
RNAcentral lists this ribosomal RNA (780 nucleotides) under Streptomyces sp. RNAcentral's name for it is "bacterial SSU rRNA". It matches the Rfam family "Bacterial small subunit ribosomal RNA", at positions 56 to 849 of the family's 1533-position model. Lineage: Bacteria; Bacillati; Actinomycetota; Actinomycetes; Kitasatosporales; Streptomycetaceae. The record is from RNAcentral.